CCUACGGGAGGCAGCAGUGGGGAAUAUUGCACAAUGGGGGAAACCCUGAUGCAGCGACGCCGCGUGAGUGAAGAAGUAUUUCGGUACGUAAAGCUCUAUCAGCAUGGAAGAAAAUGAGGGUACAUGACUAAAAAGCCCCGGCUAACUACGUGCCAGCAGCCGCGGUAAUACGUAGGGGGCGCGCGUUAUCCGGAUUUACUGUGUGUAAAGGGAGCGUAGACGGCGGCGCAAGUCAGGAGUGAAAUCACAUGGCUUAACCAUGGAACUGCAUUGGAAACUGUGCAGCUAGAGUGCAGGAGAGGUAAGCGGAAUUCCUAGUGUAGCGGUGAAAUGCGUAGAUAUUAGGAGGAACACCAGUGGCGAAGGCGGCUUACUGGACUGUAACUGACGUUGAGGCUCGAAAGCGUGGGGAGCAAACAGGAUUAGAUACCCUUGUAGUC
This 440-nucleotide ribosomal RNA is filed under the name uncultured bacterium. Its description in RNAcentral is "partial 16S ribosomal RNA". It matches the Rfam family "Bacterial small subunit ribosomal RNA", at positions 338 to 795 of the family's 1533-position model. The record is from RNAcentral.